This is a long non-coding RNA of Parus major (Great Tit), 1846 nucleotides long. RefSeq lists it as uncharacterized. The record is from RefSeq and is a predicted model, not a curated record. Lineage: Eukaryota; Metazoa; Chordata; Aves; Passeriformes; Paridae. The transcript is spliced from 3 exons.
CCGUAUUUUCAAAUAGAAGACCUACAAGAAGAACACUGUUUUACAACCAGAAUCUGAGAAGACAUAGCAAAAAGUGGGGCAAAGAAGCCCUGGACCAACUCCAAAAAUUACCUAACUGCUCUUUUAAUUGGACAAUAUUUGUUAAGAUCAGUAAUUUGUUAAACUUAUAAAUUUGUAGAGAUCCAGUACUGGAUGUGUCCAUGAUCAUUGGCACACCUGGAAGCUUCCAAUCAAGAUUUGCUUUUUAUUUCACGAUUUCAGCACUGUUACAAGGGUUUUUCUCUUUCAAUACCAGGCAGCAGCACCAACAGUCAGCAGUGACAGGGCUUUUCACCCCCUGACACAGCAGAAGACUCAUCUACUUCCCCAAAUCUAAACUAGGCCCUCACAGUUUGUUUUGUGAUGAAUUAUCUCAGCUGAAAAACACUCUUAGGCACAACAAACAUCCUGCCUUGAAUGCGUGGGGAAGGAUAAGCAGAAAUAAGUGACUGACAGACAACUACUUCUGCCAUUAUAAAAGACUGCUGUGAUUUUCAUAAAAUCAGAAAUCUCUUAUACACUCUCUGAGUGUGUGGAGAGUUCUCCUCAAAGCUGAGAUGUUGGUAUCAAGACACUUCCCUGGGACUGAGAGAAAUUAGGAGACUUCAGCACAUCACUGUCAUUCACUGCCUUAACGUGAUUUCACAUGGAAGCAGACCACACUAUGGAGCCAGCUGGAAGGGGAGAAUCCUGCCUGUUCUCCUAAGACCACAGCAGGCAGAUUAUUGUGCAGGAAAACCUCUUCAUCUGGUUGGGAAAAGCAGAGGCAAGAGUUCUACCCACAGGGGCCACCCAUCAAAGGGAGAAACUCCUGGAACUGACUGGUUUGAAGCUGUCAGUUCCAAGCUUACCAAGUGCUCACUGAAAAUGAAUAAAAGGUGUCAAUUUGUGUGUAUUUUAUUUGCACUUCAUCUGCAGAAACGGAUGGAUCUUUAAGGAAAAUGUGAGGAAUGAAGGAAGGAAAUGUUCCAUGGUCUGUAUGACUAUUAAAAAUAUAGAAGGGACAUCUGAAGUAAAAUAUGGGGUAAAGAACCAAUGCAUUAACCCAGUUUAGUUCAGUGCUGUGGGAUGAUCUGAUGCAAUUCAGCAGCAGUGCUGUGGGGGUAAGAGAGGCAGUGAAGCUGCUCCCACCUGCAAUGCCUGCAAAUUAAAUAUCUCCAGUGAGGAGCAGUCCCAGGCCACCCUGCCCAGCAAAGCCACGAUCUCUGACACCAAACCAGACUGACAUAUUCAAGGUCAGAGUUUCUACCACUGUUCUCUCAAAAGAAAAGUAUUACAGGUUAAAUUUUCUUUAAAUAUGACUUUUUUUCUUAUGAUUAGCCCUAGAGUAUGUGGAAAAUACCAUGUUUUAUAUGGUCAAGUGUGCAGUUUUGACCAUUUGGCACCCACAAAACUCUUCCUGUUCUGUUUCAUGCCCACUUUAAAAGCAAGGACACAAAGCCCCCUAAAACUGACCCAGUACAUGUUUGCUCAAAUUAACUUUCCAUAAUGCAAUAAAUUAAAAUAAUGUGUUUAGAAUACAUUGUAAACUUAAGCCUCACCUGGUUAAUAUUUCCACUUAAAAAAUACUGUAGUCUAAGCUGUGUGUGCUUUUCCAAAACUUUAACACUGAGGUAAAUGUGAAUAUCUUUUCCUAUUCAUGUCUGCUAAAUUUCUCUGUAGCUGGCAGCUCUUAAAAUACAUGUACCUGUACCUAGGUAUUAUAAAAUAUAUCAGGCUGCAGAAUUAGGGGAGAAAUACACAAGGGUGAAACCCAUUAUGGACUAAUAUCCAGUAACAUGCAAUAAGAAAGAAUUCCUUUUCUUCA